GCCCUCGUGGUAUAAUGGAUAACACAUCAGGCUUCGGACCUGGGGUUGUAGGUUCGAAUCCUACCGAGGGCG
RNAcentral lists this transfer RNA (72 nucleotides) under Candidatus Kuenenbacteria bacterium CG10_big_fil_rev_8_21_14_0_10_36_11. Its description in RNAcentral is "tRNA-Arg". It matches the Rfam family "tRNA". Rfam says of the family: Transfer RNA (tRNA) molecules are approximately 80 nucleotides in length. Their secondary structure includes four short double-helical elements and three loops (D, anti-codon, and T loops). Further hydrogen bonds mediate the characteristic L-shaped molecular structure. tRNAs have two regions of fundamental functional importance: the anti-codon, which is responsible for specific mRNA codon recognition, and the 3' end, to which the tRNAs corresponding amino acid is attached (by aminoacyl-tRNA synthetases). tRNAs cope with the degeneracy of the genetic code in two manners: having more than one tRNA (with a specific anti-codon) for a particular amino acid; and 'wobble' base-pairing, i.e. permitting non-standard base-pairing at the 3rd anti-codon position. The record is from RNAcentral. Lineage: Bacteria; Candidatus Kueneniibacteriota.